UGCGUAGGCGGUUCGUUAAGUCUGACGUGAAAUCCCCGGGCUCAACCUGGGAACUGCAUUCAAAACUGUCGAGCUAGAGUAUGGUAGAGGGUGGUGGAAUUUCCUGUGUAGCGGUGAAAUGCGUAGAUAUAGGAAGGAACACCAGUGGCGAAGGCGACCACCUGGACUGAUACUGACACUGAGGUGCGAAAGCGUGGGGAGCAAACAGGAUUAGAUACCCUCGUA
RNAcentral lists this ribosomal RNA (225 nucleotides) under uncultured Pseudomonas sp. Its description in RNAcentral is "partial 16S ribosomal RNA". It matches the Rfam family "Bacterial small subunit ribosomal RNA", at positions 568 to 792 of the family's 1533-position model. The record is from RNAcentral. Lineage: Bacteria; Pseudomonadati; Pseudomonadota; Gammaproteobacteria; Pseudomonadales; Pseudomonadaceae.